Molecule: long non-coding RNA, 219 nt
Organism: Quercus lobata
Lineage: Eukaryota; Viridiplantae; Streptophyta; Magnoliopsida; Fagales; Fagaceae
Exons: 3
Source: RefSeq, a predicted model, not a curated record
GUACGUGGUCCACUAUCCCUGAAGUGGUUGUGGGUCCCAAACAAGAAAAAUAGGCCCGCCCACAUCUUCAGGGACAGGUAUCGCGAGCAACUAGCUUCCAUGUUGCCAGACCAGGUGGUGUGGCAGCCAUAUGAAGCUCAUUUUGACGACCUCCCGCCCUGGUGUGUUGCAGGGAGGGCCGUAUGGACGGCAACGGUGCCGCUUGUAUGUUUCCACCUA